UCAGGAUGAACGCUGGCGGCGUGCCUAAUACAUGCAAGUCGAGCGAACUUUUGGGAYCUUGCUCCCAAAARUUAGCGGCGGACGGGGUGAGUAACACGUGGGCAACCUGCCUAUAAGACUGGGAUAACUUCGGGAAACCGGAGCUAAUACCGGAUAACAUAUGAGACCACAUGGUCUCAUAUUAAAAGAUGGCUUUUAGCUAUCACUUAUAGAUGGGCCCGCGGCGCAUUAGCUAGUUGGUGAGGUAAUGGCUUCWCCAARRCGACGAUGCGUAGCCGACCUGAGAGGGUGAUCGGCCACACUGGGACUGAGACACGGCCCAGACUCCUACGGGAGGCAGCAGUAGGGAAUCUUCCGCAAUGGACGAAAGUCUGACGGAGCAACGCCGCGUGAGCGAAGAAGGUCUUCGGAUCGUAAAGCUCUGUUGUUAGGGAAGAACAAGUACCGUUCRAAUAGGGCGGUACCUUGACGGUACCUAACCAGAAAGCCACGGCUAACUACGUGCCAGCAGCCGCGGUAAUACGUAGGUGGCAAGCGUUAUCCGGAAUUAUUGGGCGUAAAGCGCGCGCAGGCGGUCCUUUAAGUCUGAUGUGAAAGCCCACGGCUCAACCGUGGAGGGUCAUUGGAAACUGGGGGACUUGAGUGCAGAAGAGGAGAGCGGAAUUCCACGUGUAGCGGUGAAAUGCGUAGAGAUGUGGAGGAACACCAGUGGCGAAGRCGGCUCUCUGGUCUGUAACUGACGCUGAGGCGCGMMAGCGCCUUCCAACAGGAUUAG
RNAcentral lists this ribosomal RNA (775 nucleotides) under Bacillus sp. BAB-5543. RNAcentral's name for it is "bacterial SSU rRNA". It matches the Rfam family "Bacterial small subunit ribosomal RNA", at positions 24 to 781 of the family's 1533-position model. The record is from RNAcentral. Lineage: Bacteria; Bacillati; Bacillota; Bacilli; Caryophanales; Bacillaceae.